Molecule: ribosomal RNA, 738 nt
Filed under: uncultured bacterium
Lineage: Bacteria
Description: bacterial SSU rRNA
Rfam family: Bacterial small subunit ribosomal RNA
Source: RNAcentral
GAAAGCGGACUUCGGUCCGCGAGUAGAGUGGCAUACGGGUGAGUAACACGUGGGUAACCUGUCCGGAGGCGGGGGAUAACCCUUCGAAAGGAGGGCUAAUACCGCAUAACAUUCGCCGGGUUUCGGCCUGGCGAAUCAAAGCUUGCCUCUACUUGUAAGCAAGCACCACCGGAGGGGCCCGCGGCCCAUUAGCUUGUUGGUGAGGUAACGGCUCACCAAGGCGACGACGGGUAGCCGGCCUGAGAGGGCGAUCGGCCACACUGGAACUGAGACACGGUCCAGACUCCUACGGGAGGCAGCAGUGAGGAAUUUUGCGCAAUGGGGGAAACCCUGACGCAGCGACGCCGCGCGGAGGACGAAGGCCUUCGGGUCGUAAACUCCUGUCAAGUGGGACGAAUCCGAAGAGAUGAAUAAGCUUUUCGGUUGACGGUACCAUUGGAGGAAGCCCCGGCUAACUCCGUGCCAGCAGCCGCGGUAAUACGGGGGGGGCUAGCGUUGUUCGGAAUUAUUGGGCGUAAAGGGCGCGUAGGCGGCCUGUUAAGUCGGACGUGAAAUCCCGCGGCUCAACCGCGGAACUGCGUUCGAAACUGCCAGGCUUGAGUCCCGGAGAGGGUAGCGGAAUUCCCAGUGUAGCGGUGAAAUGCGUAGAUAUUGGGAGGAACACCAGUGGCGAAGGCGGUUACCUGGACGGGUACUGACGCUGAGGCGCGAAAGCGUGGGGAGCAAACAGGAUUAGAU